RNAcentral lists this long non-coding RNA (1356 nucleotides) under Capsicum annuum. RNAcentral describes it as "long non-coding RNA (CANN_LNC005166)". The record is from RNAcentral. Lineage: Eukaryota; Viridiplantae; Streptophyta; Magnoliopsida; Solanales; Solanaceae.
CCUUUUAAACGUCUUAUUUUCCUUCCGUGGAGUCACUCUGUAAGUUGAUUUUUGUAUCUUGAAAACACACUUCUUUUGAUACUGAAUAUGGUUCUAAACUAUUAUUCUAAUGUUCCCUAAUGGUUAUAUCUUUAUUUAAUCCAAAAAUCUUAAGUCUUAAAAUAAAAAAUUUGGGGUAUUCAUGGUGAAGUUAUGAAAUGGUAUUUGGAUGAUUUAAAGGUUAAUUUGAAUUUUAUUUUUGACGAUAUUUCAGAUCUGAACUCCAUAGGUUAUGUGUAAAUUGAUUCUUUAAUAAAAUUUUAGUUUUUCCCUUAGGACUUGGGAUUCAAUUUUUGAUUAAAAAAUUUAAGUAUAUCAAUAUUGGUAACGUUGGACUUGUAUUUAUGCAUAAAGACUAUUUUUGAUAGACAAGGAUCUUUUUCAAACAAAUCAGAAGGGGAAGGCUAUUUUAUGACAAUUGGUGGCUUAUGAUUAGGCUUCAAGAUAGGCGAUGGCUUAAAUUAUUUUACACUUUUAUAGAGUGGGUACUUAUCAUGUAAAGCAUGCUAUGGAUUGAGAAAAUUUUGUGAUUUAUUGUGAAAAUGCUUGAUUUGUUUUUCAAACCAUGAUAAUGAUGUGACUCAUAAUUUUUGGCUUGACAUUAAGGCUUUUGGCCUAUGGUCAUGUGUUGAUUGAUAAAUUUUUGAUUUCAUAUAUAUCAGUUGUACAAGUAAAGAUCAUCCACAAGGUGCACAGGCCAAACAACUUUGAGGUCAUGGAAAAAAUUUUGGUGGAAGUACUAUAGGGAGAGGUGGUGUGGAUCCUGCAAAGGAGGAAACGUAAAUUUAUGUUAGAGGUCAUUGUUAUUCCUUCAUAGGAAAAUCCAAAGUCGAGGCUUCUAUUGUUGUCAUUAGAUGUACUCUUCUCUUCUGUGAUUGAAUGGCUUUAAUUUUGUUAUGACCCGAGCCUGGGCCCUAGCCGUGAUGAUCAUCCCGAACCAUGGAGGCUCGAGCGCCCUUCUAUUUCGGGUAAACAUGCACAAUACUCAAUAAUAAAGAAAAGAAUAAGGAAAUGAAAGGAACGGAUUCAUGUUCAUACUAUGAAUUCAAUUUAACAAUACUGGAAAGAAAUCCAUCAACAUCUAAACAACGUCUAUUUAAAUCUAUGAAAUCUCUACUACAUAUGACAUUAGUAACUGUCUGAGUCUGGGAGCAGGACCCUAGUUGACCAAUACCAUAAUUAAAUAAUAAUACUCUAAGAAUGGCCUUCCGAAGUAAGGGAGUCUCACCAACUGCACACUUCUGACUGUCAACUCUACGGUUUAGCAAGACCUUUAGACUGAGCCUCAGACCCUAAAAGAUAGGGGGUCAAUACAAU